UACGAAGGGGGCUAGCGUUGUUCGGAUUUACUGGGCGUAAAGCGCGUGUAGGCGGGUCGUUAAGUUGGGGGUGAAAUCCCGAGGCUCAACCUCGGAACUGCUUUCAAGACUGGCGACCUGGGCUCAAGUAGAGGCAAGUGGAAUUGCGAGUGUAGAGGUGAAAUUCGUAGAUAUUCGCAGGAACACCAGUGGCGAAGGCGACUUGCUGGGCUUGUAGUGACGCUGAGACGCGAAAGCGUCGGGAGCAAACAGU
RNAcentral lists this ribosomal RNA (253 nucleotides) under uncultured bacterium. Its description in RNAcentral is "partial 16S ribosomal RNA". It matches the Rfam family "Bacterial small subunit ribosomal RNA", at positions 524 to 776 of the family's 1533-position model. The record is from RNAcentral.